Molecule: long non-coding RNA, 1989 nt
Filed under: Spirodela polyrhiza (greater duckweed)
Lineage: Eukaryota; Viridiplantae; Streptophyta; Magnoliopsida; Alismatales; Araceae
Description: long non-coding RNA (SPOL_LNC002642)
Source: RNAcentral
UCUGGAAUUUCAGGAGAACCCUGAAUGCAUAGAUGGGCAAAAGCUCUGCUGCCGGAUUAACUGGGAGAUCAGAGAAGGCCAAAUUAACGCAGAUUCCACAUUAAAAUAAAGAGGGGCAACAAUCGAUUGCAUAAUGUUAAUCAUAAAAGUAACGAACAGCCAGAUUAAUAGUAGAUCAUUAUGUCUGGCUGCCCAGCUUCGUGGAAGGGAACAACAUGUCAGGAUUUUUUUUCAUCCUUCUUUGUUUAGAGCGGGGUGGGGAGGGGGGGCGGGGGUGGGGGGCAAUGCAGAAACAAGUUAACCAUACAGUGGAAGUUCAGAAUUCCAUGGAGUGAAUAUUCGUCACACUAGCUGAAACAGCUGCAUGAAGGGAAAUAAAGUCGAAAGUGAAACUUGAUAUUUGGUCUCGAAAACUUCAAAUUUGCAUUUGAUAGUUUGAAGUACGCUGUCAUGUAUCGAUUCCUCAAAGACUAUAACCAUUAGGUCUGUUAGAGCCUAAAAUAAUCUGAUGAAUAAUUUUAAAUCCUUCGGUUUAAAGUAUAUUCUUAACGUCCAGGAACAACACCUCUUUCGACAAAAAGGUCCAGGUCAUUCUGUUGUCGAUACCAUGAAUAAAGGGUGUUGAGUCCUUGGUUGUAGAGGCAACAUGUUUACUCCAAAACAUACAACGUUUGACCCCUUAAUAGUAGAAGUCUUCACGAACAUUACAUAUACUGAAAGACGUAGGAUUAAAUCCUAUAACAUGGGGGUCAGCCCGAGGGAAAAGUGGGUAAAGUCAGCGAUUGAGAGCCAAGAAGAAAUGAAACUUUAAGGUUACACGAACUCUGUAACCUAAAAACAAUUAAGUUGGGUUUUGAUGUCAGCAAAAGUUGCAUAAUUAAUGUCCUUUAAAAAACUGUGAGGUUGUUAAUGUCACCAAAACUCACGCCGAGAGAGACGGGGUCUGAUCGAACAUGGCAGUAUAUAAUCUCAAUCGGGAUCUGAUGGGCCAAACAGCGCACUCGAGGGAUGAAAACCAAUAGAGUUAAAAGUUGAAAAAAAAAAUACAAUCUUCAGGCGUACGUAAAAAUAUUUUCAAUAAAAAAUAUUUAUUGAGAGCUGUGAUGGUUGCUUGAGGAGAUUGGAAAAGAGACGAUUAGUUUCCAGAGAGCUGGUGCGGUAAACUUGCUUAAAGAGACUCUCCUAUCAUCUUAUUCAUUGUCUGUUUGGUCUGCAACCUUCCCUUUAUCUACUUUUUUCUACUUCUAUUUAGGCUCUCCCUCUGGCUUCAUGACAAAAUACCAUACAAUGUAUGGCUCAGCUAGGAAUCAACAGAUACAAGAGAUAUUAUUCAAUUCUCUGCCUUAUAUUUCCUCUUUUUAAAAUUUUGAAGAGGGAUUCAAGCUUCUUGGCUUACGUAGGAGGGUCAGGGGAUCUAGUCGGUCAGAAGACUAAACCAUGUAAAUUUGGUUGUCAUUUCGAUUGAUCUAGAACCAGAUCAAUCGAAAAUAAUUUUUGUCACAAUUACCCUAUUAAGAUAAGAAUCAGCCAACUCGGUGAACUCACGAUUGAAAGGAAUCAUAAGAGAAGAUGAUAAUACCACUUCAGGUGAUUUACAGGGAUGUAAGAAUAAACUUGAAAAUGUGAUGUUAUCAUUCAGGAUUUAUAUGAUAUUGUCUCAGAACCUAAAUUUCAAGCGACAAGAUAGAAAAUUAACACAGACCUGACAAAACAGGCAAGAAAACUACGAUGAAUUAUCAUAUUCACGUAUAUUGGAUGUAUUCGGAUAGCAUGCCAAACAUUAGAUAAUAAUUCUUUCCUCAGCAAUUGGACAUAAAAAAAACAAGCAUAUAACAACCUUGUUGAGACACUAUCCACGUUCGCCAAGCAACUAUCCGAUCGUCCGAAAGAGAGAUGUGAAUAGGGAGUGUUGACAAACCCCCAUAUUCAAAGGCACAAACAGAGACAGAACUGAUGAUUUCUCCAAGAUGAUCGGCCCGUUGUACAUGU